RNAcentral lists this transfer RNA (71 nucleotides) under Albula glossodonta (roundjaw bonefish). It matches the Rfam family "tRNA". Rfam says of the family: Transfer RNA (tRNA) molecules are approximately 80 nucleotides in length. Their secondary structure includes four short double-helical elements and three loops (D, anti-codon, and T loops). The record is from Rfam by way of RNAcentral. Lineage: Eukaryota; Metazoa; Chordata; Actinopteri; Albuliformes; Albulidae. RNAcentral also lists the same sequence under 1 other name.
GCAUUGGUGGUUCAAUGGUAGAAUUCUCGCCUGCCACGCGGGAGGUCCGGGUUCGAUUCCCGGCCAAUGCA